This 465-nucleotide ribosomal RNA is filed under the name Vreelandella stevensii. RNAcentral's name for it is "partial 16S ribosomal RNA". It matches the Rfam family "Bacterial small subunit ribosomal RNA", at positions 338 to 795 of the family's 1533-position model. Lineage: Bacteria; Pseudomonadati; Pseudomonadota; Gammaproteobacteria; Oceanospirillales; Halomonadaceae. The record is from RNAcentral.
CCUACGGGUGGCAGCAGUGGGGAAUAUUGGACAAUGGGGGCAACCCUGAUCCAGCCAUGCCGCGUGUGUGAAGAAGGCCCUCGGGUUGUAAAGCACUUUCAGUGAGGAAGAACGCCUGGUGGUUAAUACCCAUCAGGAAAGACAUCACUCACAGAAGAAGCACCGGCUAACUCCGUGCCAGCAGCCGCGGUAAUACGGAGGGUGCGAGCGUUAAUCGGAAUUACUGGGCGUAAAGCGCGCGUAGGUGGCUUGAUAAGCCGGUUGUGAAAGCCCCGGGCUCAACCUGGGAACGGCAUCCGGAACUGUCAAGCUAGAGUGCAGGAGAGGAAGGUAGAAUUCCCGGUGUAGCGGUGGAAUGCGUAGAGAUCGGGAGGAAUACCAGUGGCGAAGGCGGCCUUCUGGACUGACACUGACACUGAGGUGCGAAAGCGUGGGUAGCAAACAGGAUUAGAUACCCGAGUAGUC